This 1395-nucleotide ribosomal RNA is filed under the name uncultured bacterium. Its description in RNAcentral is "bacterial SSU rRNA". It matches the Rfam family "Bacterial small subunit ribosomal RNA". The record is from RNAcentral.
UUAGAGUUUGAUCCUGGCUCAGGAUGAACGCUAGCGGCAGGCUUAACACAUGCAAGUCGAGGGGCAGCAUGUCCAGCAAUGGAUGAUGGCGACCGGCGGAAGGGUGCGUAACGCGUGAGCAACAUGCCCUAUACAGGGAGAUACACCAGGGAAACUUGGUCUAAUAUCCCAUAGCAUUCAUUGAAGGCAUCUUUAAUGAAUUAAAGCUUCGGUGGUAUAGGAUUGGCUCGCGUGACAUUAGCCAGAUGGUGAGGUAACGGCUCACCAUAGCAAUGAUGUCUAGGGGUUUUGAGAGGAAGGCCCCCCACGCUGGGACUGAGACACGGCCCAGACUCCUACGGGAGGCAGCAGUGAGGAAUAUUGGUCAAUGGGCUAAAGCCUGAACCAGCCAUCCCGCGUGCAGGAUGACGGCCUUAUGGGUUGUAAACUGCUUUUCUACAUAAAGAACGGGUCUUACGUGUAAGGCAUUGACGGUAGUGUAGGAAUAAGCAUCGGCUAACUCCGUGCCAGCAGCCGCGGUAAUACGGAGGAUGCAAGCGUUAUCCGGAUUUAUUGGGUUUAAAGGGUGCGCAGGCGGAAAGAUAAGUCAGUGGUGAAAAACUGCCGCUUAACGGUAGUCUUGCCAUUGAUACUGUUUUUCUUGAGUAUGGAUGAGGUAGGCGGAAUGUGCAGUGUAGCGGUGAAAUGCAUAGAUAUUGCACGGAACUCCGAUUGCGAAGGCAGCUUACUGGACCAUUACUGACGCUCAGGCACGAAAGCGUGGGUAGCAAACAGGAUUAGAUACCCUGGUAGUCCACGCAGUAAACGAUGUUCACUCGCUGUUUGCGAUAUACAGUAAGCGGCUUAGUUAAAGCAUUAAGUGAACCACCUGGGGAGUACGAUCGCAAGGUUGAAACUCAAAGGAAUUGACGGGGGCCCGCACAAGCGGAGGAACAUGUGGUUUAAUUCGAUGAUACGCGAGGAACCUUACCUGGGCUUAAAUGCAGGAUGCAUGCUGUGGAAACACACUUCCCUUCGGGGCUUCCUGCAAGGUGCUGCAUGGUUGUCGUCAGCUCGUGCCGUGAGGUGUCGGGUUAAGUCCCAUAACGAGCGCAACCCUUACCGUUAGUUGCCAUCAGGUCAAGCUGGGGACUCUAUCGGGACUGCCACCGUAAGGUGAGAGGAAGGUGGGGAGGACGUCAAAUCAGCACGGCCCUUAUGUCCAGGGCUACACACGUGUUACAAUGGCCGGUACAGAGGGUAGCUACCCCGCGAGGGGAUGCCAAUCUUAAAAGCCGGUCUCAGUUCGGAUUGGAGUCUGCAACCCGACUCCAUGAAGUUGGAUUCGCUAGUAAUCGCACAUCAGCCACGGUGCGGUGAAUAAGUUCCCGGGCCUUGUACACACCGCCCGUCAAG